Molecule: ribosomal RNA, 469 nt
Filed under: uncultured bacterium
Lineage: Bacteria
Description: bacterial SSU rRNA
Rfam family: Bacterial small subunit ribosomal RNA
Source: RNAcentral
GAUGAACGCUAGCGGCAGGCUUAACACAUGCAAGUCGAGGGGUAACAGGGAAGCUUGCUUCCGCUGACGACCGGCGCACGGGUGCGUAACACGUAUGGAAUCUGCCCUUUACUGGAGAAUAGCCCGAAGAAAUUCGGAUUAAUGCUCCAUAAUAAACGAGAUGGCAUCAUCUUGUUUUGAAAGCUCCGGCGGUAAAGGAUGACCAUGCGCCCGAUUAGUUUGUUGGUGAGGUAACGGCUCACCAAGACUACGAUCGGUAGGGGGCCUGAGAGGGUUAUCCCCCACACUGGUACUGAGACACGGACCAGACUCCUACGGGAGGCAGCAGUGGGGAAUAUUGGGGCAAUGGGCGAAAGCCUUACCCAGCAAUGCCGCGUGUGUGAAGAAGGUCUUCGGAUUGUAAAGCACUAUAUUGGGGAAGAACACAAGUGACGGUACCCAAGAAGAAAAAGCCCCGGCUAACUAUGUG